CCUACGGGUGGCAGCAGUAGGGAAUCUUUCACAAUGGGCGAAAGCCUGAUGGAGCAACGCCGCGCGCAGGAUGAAGGCCUUCGGGUUGUAAACUGCUUUUAUAAGCGAGAAAUAUUAUGGUAACUUAUGAAUAAGGAUCGGCUACCUCCGUGCCAGCAGCCGCGGCCAUACGAAGGAUCCGAGCAUUAUCCGUAGUGACUGGGUGUAAAGAGUUGCGUAGGUGGCAUAAUAAGUAGCUAGUGGAAUCUGGUGGCUCAACCAUUCAGACUAGUAGCUAAACUGUUAAGCUCGAGACCGUUAGGGGGAACUGGAAUUUCUAGUGUAGGAGUGAAAUCCGUAGAUAU
This 344-nucleotide ribosomal RNA is filed under the name uncultured bacterium. Its description in RNAcentral is "partial 16S ribosomal RNA". It matches the Rfam family "Bacterial small subunit ribosomal RNA", at positions 338 to 697 of the family's 1533-position model. The record is from RNAcentral.